CAUUUACAUGGUAGACCAACGAGACACAGUUGCUGUCCAUAAUCCUAAAUCAUUUGUAAUUAUAAAACAUUACUCUUCAUGGGGAGACUAAUAGGAAAUAUUGCCCAGUACCCCAGAUUUCUGUAUCCCGCUAGAAACUUCUCUCACCAGCCUCUGCUGGAUUUAAAGAUGAAAGCCUUUUUGUCAUGGUGCUCCAUGAACAGUCAGACACAAGCAAGAAGUUCAGCCCCAUAAAUAACAGACACACUAGAAAACCAUAUUUUCCCCCUGCCACAUCUGUCAGGAAAAAGGGAAAAAUGGGACAACUACCAAGCUGGCAUGCAGGGCAGUUCCCUGUUCUGCUGGCAGUAUGUUCCAGUAAGAGCCUUGAAAGCUAAUCUCAUUUUCUUGUUAGUUUCCAGCCUCUUGAUCAGUGCAGAUGCGGGACCCUUCAGUACAAUCUCACGACUGGGAUGAGAAGUGGCCCGGAGAAUCCAUUAGCUCUCCAAACCCCGUGGACUGUGUUUAUCGCCUGGCAGAUAAGGGACAAAUUGAAGAAGAAAUCUGAGUCUUCUUCCCACUCUGCCUAGACACAUCUUACUCUUCACCGCUGCAAGUUUCGCGCACCGCUUCCCAGCCAGGUCUGCUCCCCUUCCACCCCACCCUCCUCUCCGUCCCUGGAUUUCCCCUCACGGAGUUCUUCCGAGCCGCUGUAGCAGCAGGCGAGGCUCGGGGCCCCGCUCCGGACCGCGCGGCUCCAGAGCCGCCCCGGGGGCUCGUUUGGGGCUGGGAACACGAGGGGACCCUUCUAUCCCGGGAGCCGCAGAGGAGUUGGCUUCCAACGCUACCGGUCCUGCCGGAGGACGCCCUAAAGGAAGCAGGACGAAGGCUCUUCCUGGUGGUAUUUCUAAGCUCAUAUGCAGGAUGUUGAAGAGACUGUCUCACACAAAAGUCUUCAAAGGCUGCAGGGACUUCUUUGGCAGUGAGAACUAAAGCAUGACUGCCAUCCAGGAAGUGACUGGUUUUUUCCUUCCAUUUCCCUGAAAAACUUGUGAAAUUCCUGAGAAGCACAACUUUUUUCUGAAGUUCUGAAGAUUUUUUCUGAGUUCUGAAGCUCAUAUGAACAAAAAGGAGGACAUUUUUUUUUUUAGCUCUGC
RNAcentral lists this long non-coding RNA (1136 nucleotides) under Ficedula albicollis (Collared flycatcher). RNAcentral describes it as "lncRNA (ENSFALG00000028091.1)". The record is from RNAcentral. Lineage: Eukaryota; Metazoa; Chordata; Aves; Passeriformes; Muscicapidae.